Molecule: long non-coding RNA, 2015 nt
Filed under: Triticum aestivum (bread wheat)
Lineage: Eukaryota; Viridiplantae; Streptophyta; Magnoliopsida; Poales; Poaceae
Description: long non-coding RNA (TAES_LNC003327)
Source: RNAcentral
GGAAAAAUGCUAAGUAUAGGUCAUUUUAGAGCUAUCCUAGGUUAAAUGCUAGGUUGUAUUUCUUUACAGAGGGGGUACUAGUCAAAGUCAACCAAUUUCGUCAUGUCAUGGUGAGCUGCACCGUGAGCAGUACAUGGCUCUACCUAUCAAAACAAGAAAACAUACUUCUUGGACCCUGAAAACAACGGACAACGGUUCUUCCACUUGAAAUCAACACCAUGGCUCACAGGCAGAAUACUGGCAGUAAUAAUCAAAUAAACUAUACAAGGAGUUGUUUCGAUUCCACAACAAGGAUCAAAACAUGCACAACCAUGUCUUAUGUUGCAACUGAACAACACAUACUACAGCCAUCAAAACCAGCAGAUUGACAGGUUAGAGUCAAUCCCACCAUCUCAUUUACUCCUCCCUUCCCUUGAGAAAAACAAAAUUCUUUACAAAUAUAAUAGCCAACACAUGGAAUAUAUUUGUUGUGCUCUAAGCAUCUCAACUCAGCGCCAGUAGUGAUGGCACAACACACAUACCUUGGUUUUUACAUGCUCUUUCUCCUUGACAUCCUUAUUAUACUUGUCUUUGUGGAAGUCCAUGAUCUUGCAAGUAGGAUGGUCCUAUUUCCGAUGGACCUGCAUGGGCGGCGACAAGAUAACCAUGAGAAAUGGAAAUGCUGACAGUCGCGCACAAACAAUCGAAAAAGAAUCUCAAGAAAAUGCUAAAACUUGGGAUCAAACAAUUGAAGAAGGAAAUGCAGCACUACCUCAACCAGGUGCAAGCCCAUCCUGGAUACAACUUUAUGCCCUCGGUACAACAUUAUGAUCUGCAAAGUUGAAACAUGAUAUGUGAAAGCCUAUGAUCUUGCAAAUCAACAAUAUAACAUGUUUGUUAACGCACAACAAGGAAGCUUCAGUUCAAAAUUAUAUGAUGUCGCACACUUUCAAACGUGGCUCUGUUCUAAGCAUUCCAACUCAGCUUCAGUUGUGGUGUGACGACAAAUUUACCCAAGCAGGAUGAUUUUAUCACAUACCUUGUUAUUUUAGGCGAUCUUUCUCCAUGGCAUCCUUGGUAUACUUGUCUUUGUGAAAGCCUAUGAUCUUGGAAACAGGAGGGCCUGAUUUCCCAAGGACCUGCACAUGCGGUAACGAGAAAACCAUGAAAACAGAAAUUCCGACAGUUGCGCACAAGCAAUUGAAAAAGAAUCUCAAGAAAAUGGCAACACUUGGGCACAAACAAUUGAAGAAGAAGGAAAUGCAGUGGUACCUCAACUAGGUUCAAUCCCAUCCUAGGAGCCAUUCAAAGACAUCCUGGGCACUACAUCAUGCCCUGCAAAAAAUAAGAAGCAUGCCAUGUUCAGCAUCUGAAUGUUGAACCAAGCAGGUUCAGGUUUGUGCAAUCCCGUGUCAAACUCCCUAGUAGAUGCAUUGAUAGUUGUACAUUUGAUAUAUGGUUAAUUUAAAGCGAUCGCCAUCACCAAAAAAACAAAUAUUUUAGGUGAGUUAAACAGUGCAAAUCACAGUGGACACAUGAAUCAUGCAGAUGUGAUCCUACCACUUCACUUGUCCAAACUUAAGAUGAUGACUACACACAAACACACACACGCACACACAUAUGCUUGGUUGUUGCCAAGUAACCAAGCAAGUUUAGGUUUUAUUUUUUUUUUGAUAAAUCUCCUCCUAAAAGAAAACAGCAUGCCAACUAAUUUACUUGGUACAUGCAAUGCUUGAAUACAAAUAGCCCUCCGGUGAAACUAAAUGAGGGAGAGGAAAAUUGGGUGGUUUGAGUCGCAAACUACACAACCUUAGGAACCAUGAGCUGCACAUCAUUUAGCAAAUGAGUUGAGGCUAGUGCACUGUGCCAUGGAUUGCAAUUUGCAGAAAUUGGACUAGAGCAGAGGAGUGGUAAGAAGUAGAGAAGAGUAGGGGGCAGUUACCUUGUGCGGUGCCCCGUCGUGGUCGAGCUCAAUGUACCGGUCCUCAUCCUCCCCUACAUCAUGGUCAUCCCCGUCCAUAGAGGGUGCCUUCCUG